RNAcentral lists this ribosomal RNA (444 nucleotides) under uncultured prokaryote. RNAcentral's name for it is "bacterial SSU rRNA". It matches the Rfam family "Bacterial small subunit ribosomal RNA", at positions 9 to 450 of the family's 1533-position model. The record is from RNAcentral.
GAGUUUGAUCCUGGCUCAGAAUGAACGCUGGCGGCGUGCUUAACACAUGCAAGUCGAACGGUAACAGAGAGAGCUUGCUCUCUGUUGACGAGUGGCGCACGGGUGAGUAAUAUAUAGAUAAUGUGCCCCUUGGACCGGGAUAGCCAUUGGAAACGAUGAUUAAUACCGGAUACUCCUUCUUAUCAAAAGAUAAGUUGGGAAAUGGAUUCCGCCAAGGGAUCGGUCUAUAUCCCAUCAGUUAGUUGGUAGUGUAAGAGACUACCAAGACGAUGACGGGUAGCGGGUUUGAGAGGAUGAUCCGCCACACUGGUACUGAGACACGGACCAGACUCCUACGGGAGGCAGCAGUGAGGAAUAUUGCACAAUGGGGGAAACCCUGAUGCAGCAACGCCGCGUGGAGGAUGACGCAUUUCGGUGUGUAAACUCCUUUUAUAGUCAAGAAAA